GCGGAGGUCGCCUAGUGGCUAUGGCGGUAAAUUUCAAAUUGGCGUGUUUUACGCCGCGCGGGUUCGAAUCCCGCCCUCCGCG
This 82-nucleotide transfer RNA is filed under the name Microcaldota archaeon. RNAcentral's name for it is "Candidatus Micrarchaeota archaeon (hot springs metagenome) tRNA-Sec". It matches the Rfam family "tRNA". Rfam says of the family: Transfer RNA (tRNA) molecules are approximately 80 nucleotides in length. Their secondary structure includes four short double-helical elements and three loops (D, anti-codon, and T loops). The record is from RNAcentral. Lineage: Archaea; Nanobdellati; Microcaldota.